Molecule: long non-coding RNA, 237 nt
Filed under: Olea europaea (common olive)
Lineage: Eukaryota; Viridiplantae; Streptophyta; Magnoliopsida; Lamiales; Oleaceae
Description: long non-coding RNA (OEUR_LNC002402)
Source: RNAcentral
GGAUUUGGACAAUUUAAGAAAGCCAAUACAGGAUCAGGAUCCAAAAAACCAAAUAAAGUUAUUCCUUAAUGCCCUAAAUACAACAAGGCGCAUAGAGGAGAGUGCCUAUUUGGGAAAAAUGUGUGUUAUCGAUGUGGCCAAGAAGGACAUUUUGCCCCAGAUUGCAAAGCAUACCCACCUAAAAAAGAUCUUGAGCAAAGGAUGAAAGUGAGAGCCAAAGUUUUUGCUUUAACUCAG